CCCAAAGUAGGCAUUUCACAAGUAAAUUGCAUUUAUUCAAGAAUAUUCACAAGCUAGACCUAAAUUCUUAUGAACCAUGCUAUUUUCACGUUUAUUAACUAACAGCUGUCCACUAAUGUAGUUAUUAGAGCAAUAACAUUCAUGGAAAUGAAGAAGAAGAAAUAAAUAAUCAGCUGACUAGUUUACUCUAUGGUUCUAUUUCUAUAGUUCUUGGUUGUGCAGUUUAUUCUGUGGUUGUGCUUUCUGAUUUUGAAUAAAACAGUGAGUUAUUGAAAGUGUGUUUGUUUUGUGAAGUUAGAUGUUAUAAUUAUGGGUGGACUAUCGAAAAAAAGACAAAACAUCAAAUAAAGGAAUUCAAGUAAUAUAAAUCAGCGAUUUAAAAAGGAUGUCAGUGAGAAAACUCACCUGCUGCUGUCCAGCGGCUGGUGCAUUCCAAGGAAGGACCAACUAGGAAUACAUAACCAGUGAAACUUCGAAGAUUAGCCCUAACAUUGAUAUUUUAUUCUAGUCGGGCAUAUAAUUAUGUCCAAAAUGUUUUUUUUCUUACAGUUUGCCACAUCCCAGCACACUUAAGAAUGGUACCUCAGUGGAUAGCAGGCCCUAAUGUUGAAAAAAAAAUAAUAAUAAAAUGGCUACAAAAUGAAA
Molecule: long non-coding RNA, 645 nt
Organism: Bacillus rossius redtenbacheri
Lineage: Eukaryota; Metazoa; Arthropoda; Insecta; Phasmatodea; Bacillidae
Exons: 2
Source: RefSeq, a predicted model, not a curated record